CAUCCAUCCAUGCAGAGAUGUCUCAAAGGCAGGAAGAGAUUCGGGAAUGCAGGGAUGAUUGGAGCUGCCGAGUUUGACUUGUGAAUUAUUUGCAUAGAGGUGACAGCCGAAGCCACGGGGGCAAAUGAGUUCUUCAAGGAAUACCGGCCUCAACAUGCCGCUCCCAGUAGCACUACAGUCCCGUCUGGCGAAGCGGGGGAUCCUUAAGCACAUGGAGCCCGAACCCGAAGAGGAGAUCAUCGCGGAGGACCACGACGACGACCACGUGGACUACGAAGCCACCCGGCUGGAGGGUCUCCCGCCCCACUGGUACAAGGUGUUCGAUCCCGUCUGGCAUUCUGCCUUUUCCUCAUUUCCCCCAGCCCUGGCUCCGGUGGGAAUUGUUGGAGCCCAGCCGAGCGGGGGACCCAGGGCUGGGAGGCAGAGAACGAACCCAGCUCGGAAAGUCGGCGGGGCCGGGGCCUGGGGAAGUCUCUGUCUUCCGCCGCCAGAGCCGAAGUGCCUGACUGAAGGAAGAGAGGCUCAGCGGCCUCCCUUACUACUGGAACGUGGAGACAGACCUGGUGUCCUGGCUGUCGCCCCACGACCCCAACUCCAUCGUCACCAAAGCGGCCAAGAAGCUCAAAAGCGCCCUAGACAACGAGGAGAAGCCGGAACGGGCCUUCGAGAAGCCGGAACGGGUCUUCGAGAAGCCCGAUCGAGGGUUCGAGAAGCCGGAGCGGGAGCGGGACCGCGGCGGCUACGACAAGCCCGAGCGGGACCGCGGCGGCUACGACAAACCCGAGCGGGACCGCGGCGGCUACGACAAGCCCGAGCGGGACCGCGGCGGCUACGACAAGCCCGAGCGGGACCGCGGCGGCUACGACAAGCCCGAGCGGGACCGCGGCGGCUACGACAAGUCCGACCGGGACCGCGGCGGCUACGACAAGUCCGACCGGGACCGCGGUUACGACAAGUCCGACCGGGACCGCGGUUACGACAAAUCCGAGCGGGACCGGGGCUACGAGAAACCGGAUCGGGAUGACGUAAAGGAGCGGCGGUACCACAGGCGGGAGGAGCUGGCUCCCUACUCCAAGAGCAAGAAAGCCAGUCGCAAGGAUGAAGAAUUAGACCCCAUGGACCCCAGUGCCUAUUCAGACGCCCCCCGGGGCACGUGGUCCACAGGGCUGCCCAAAAGGAACGAAGCCAAGACGGGAGCCGACACCACAGCGGCGGGGCCCCUGUUCCAGCAACGGCCCUACCCGAGCCCCGGGGCCGUGCUGCGGGCCAACGCCGAGGCCUCCCGGGCCAAGCAG
RNA transcript from Tachyglossus aculeatus (Australian echidna), 1295 nucleotides. It is a transcript of the gene named polyglutamine binding protein 1, with no coding region annotated. The record is from RefSeq and is a predicted model, not a curated record. Lineage: Eukaryota; Metazoa; Chordata; Mammalia; Monotremata; Tachyglossidae. The transcript is spliced from 8 exons.